This 524-nucleotide ribosomal RNA is filed under the name uncultured bacterium. Its description in RNAcentral is "bacterial SSU rRNA". It matches the Rfam family "Bacterial small subunit ribosomal RNA", at positions 33 to 518 of the family's 1533-position model. The record is from RNAcentral.
ACGACGCUGGCGGCGUGCCUAAUACAUGCAAGUCGAGCGCAGGAAGCAGACUGAAGUCCUUCGGGAGGACGUCUAGUGGAAUGAGCGGCGGAUGGGUGAGUAUCACGUGGGUAACCUGCCUGUAAGCUCGGGAUAACUCCGGGAAACCGGAGCGUAAUACCGAAUAAGGUUUCGUUCGCAUGAACGAAAAAUGAAAGGCGGCUUAUGCUGUCACUUACAGAUGGACCCGCGGCGCAUUAGCUAGUUGGUGAGAUAAUGGCUCACCAAAGCCACGAUGCGUAGCCGACCUGAGAGGGUGAUCGGCCACACUGGGACUGAGACACGGCCCAGACUCCUACGGGAGGCAGCAGUAGGGAAUCUUCCGCAAGUGGACGCAAGUCUGACGGAGCAACGCCGCGUGAGUGAUGAAGGUCUUCGGAUCGUAAAACUCUGUUAUUAGGGAAGAACAAGUAUCAACCGGAUAAGUUGGUACCUUGACGGUACUUAAUCAGAAACGCCCCGGCUAACUACGUGCCAGCAGCAGC